CUAAGCUCACAUCCUCAAAAGAAAGCCCACGAUUUUUUGGGGCUGUUUUACAUCCCAUCAGAAUUCAAAGCAAAGUUCAUGUUUCACCUCAAGCCCCACAGAAAAUGCUUGUUGCUUGGAAAUUGAUCUUGGAAAUUAUUCAAGUGCUCUCUGAGGUUUUCAGAGAUGUCCGUUCUGAGGAGAUAUCAAAUGUGCACACAUGGGCCCAACCCAGCUGACAAAUGUGUACCUGAUGACUUCCUGUGCUUGCUGCGCUGGAGUUGAGCAGCUGUAGGACUGAGACUUGGGGCGUAACGGUGAGCAAAAGCUUCAGGUAAGACAUUUAUCAGCUUUUACUCAUCUGCCGGUAGCGCAUAUUGCUACUUUCAUAUCCCACACGAAUAACCUGGAUCUAACAUCUUCCACUCUCUGUAACUCCUCAGCUCAGAAGUAACAGAGCAAGAAUUAUUAUUUUUGAAUGGUGAAAAUAGUACAAAAAGUCUGCAUAUAACCAACAUCCAGGCACUUUAGCAGCACAACACUGGAUCUGUGCUGCGGUGCUGUGUGAGACACGUAGAGGUACUGGGGGGUCCCUGCUGCAUCCGCGCCUCCCCCAGGGCUUUAGGGCUGCUUCAGCAGAGACACUGUGUGGGAUGAAUCCCCCUGGGAAGUGCAGUCUUUGGAGAGAGGAAACAUAAAGCAUCUGUGUAGUGUGUUCAUUUAAUGUGUUCAUCCAAGUAUUUCAGCAUUCUGGCUUCUUCUUGAAGCUAUCUUUCCCACCUUGGAAGAAAAGGUGCUUUGUGGGGAAAGUUCUUCAUUUAAAAAUCAAAUAAAGUUAAGCCUUCGCUGCAGCUUUUAUGUUUAAGGUGUUCAAAGCAGUUCCAAAAAACAUGUACCACCAGUGGAGGUAACUUUACUUUUCAUGAACGUGCAAACCAGAAUCUAGUGCUUACUACAGAUAUCUAAUUAAGUACAUCUUAAUCUCAUCUGCUGUGAGUGUAUUUCAAACUAUCAAAG
This is a long non-coding RNA of Cygnus olor (mute swan), 996 nucleotides long. RefSeq lists it as uncharacterized. The record is from RefSeq and is a predicted model, not a curated record. Lineage: Eukaryota; Metazoa; Chordata; Aves; Anseriformes; Anatidae. The transcript is spliced from 2 exons.